Molecule: ribosomal RNA, 997 nt
Filed under: human gut metagenome
Description: bacterial LSU rRNA
Rfam family: Bacterial large subunit ribosomal RNA
Source: RNAcentral
AACGGCGGCCGUAACUAUAACGGUCCUAAGGUAGCGAAAUUCCUUGUCAGGUAAGUUCUGACCCGCACGAAAGGUGUAACGAUUUGGGCGCUGUCUCGGCAGCAGACUCGGUGAAAUCUUAGUACCUGUGAAAAUGCAGGUUACCCGCAACUAGACGGAAAGACCCCAUGGAGCUUUACUGCAGCCUGAUAUUGAAUUCUGGUCAUACAUGUACAGGAUAGGUGGGAGACAAAGAGACGUGCACGCCAGUGUACGAGGAGUCGCCGUUGGGAUACCACUCUUGUGUGACCGGGGUUCUAACCUGGUAUCGAUAACAGGUACGGGGAGAGUGUCAGGUGGGCAGUUUGACUGGGGCGGUCGCCUCCCAAAGAGUAACGGAGGCGCCCAAAGGUACGCUCAGAUUGGAUGGAAACCAAUCGACGAGUGCAAUUGCAGAAGCGUGCUUGACUGUGAGACUUACAAGUCGAACAGGGACGAAAGUCGGGAAUAGUGAUCCGGCGGUGCCGAAUGGAAGGGCCGUCGCUCAACGGAUAAAAGCUACCCUGGGGAUAACAGGCUGAUCUCCCCCAAGAGUUCACAUCGACGGGGAGGUUUGGCACCUCGAUGUCGGCUCAUCGCAUCCUGGAGCUGAAGUCGGUUCCAAGGGUUGGGCUGUUCGCCCAUUAAAGCGGUACGCGAGCUGGGUUCAGAACGUCGUGAGACAGUUCGGUCCCUAUCUGUUGUGGGCGAAGGAGAUCUGCGGAGAGCUGUCCUCAGUACGAGAGGACCGGGAUGGACCUACCGCUGGUGCACCGGUUGUUCCGCCAGGGGCAUAGUCGGGUAGCUAAGUAGGGAAAGGAUAAGCGCUGAAAGCAUCUAAGCACGAAGCCUACUCCAAGAUGAGAUCUCCCAUUCGCAAGAAGUAAGACCCCUUAAAGACGAUAAGGUAGAUAGGCCAGGGAUGGAAGUGCAGUGAUGUACGGAGUUGACUGGUACUAAUCGGUCGAGGACUUAAUCA